Molecule: small nucleolar RNA, 132 nt
Organism: Capra hircus (goat)
Lineage: Eukaryota; Metazoa; Chordata; Mammalia; Artiodactyla; Bovidae
Gene: SNORA70
Rfam family: Small nucleolar RNA SNORA70
About the family: snoRNA U70 seems to be exclusive to mammals and is a member of the H/ACA class of snoRNA which contain H (ANANNA) and ACA box motifs.
Source: Ensembl
AUGAACAAAGCAAGCCACCUGUGCUAUUUCCCCCCUGGAGGCCAGUGUGCAAUGGCUGCAAAUAACAGCCUCCUCAGUAGUGUAUACAGCCUGUUGCCUGUAUGAGUUGCCCUAAGGAACUUGAAUACAUCC